GUACAGGAUAGGUGGGAGGCUUUGAAACCAGGACGCCAGUUUUGGCGGAGCCAUCCUUGGGAUACCACCCUUGUAGUACUGGGACUCUAACCAUAGGCCAUGAAUCUGGUCUUGGGACACUGUCAGGUGGGCAGUUUGACUGGGGCGGUCGCCUCCCAAAAGGUAACGGAGGCGCUCAAAGGUUCUCUCAGUACGGUCGGAAAUCGUACGUAGAGUGUAAAGGCAAAAGAGAGCUUGAUUGCAAGACAUACAGGUCGAGCAAGGAUGAAAAUCGGACUUAGUGAUCCGGUGGUUCUGCGUGGAAGGGCCAUCGCUCAACGGAUAAAAGCUACCCUGGGGAUAACAGGCUUAUCUCCCCCAAGAGUCCACAUCGACGGGGAGGUUUGGCACCUCGAUGUCGGCUCAUCACAUCCUGGGGCUGUAGUAGGUCCCAAGGGUUGGGCUGUUCGCCCAUUAAAGUGGUACGCGAGCUGGGUUCAGAACGUCGUGAGACAGUUCGGUCCCUAUCCGUCGCAGGCGUAGGAAAUUUGAGAAGACCUGUCCUUAGUACGAGAGGACCGGGAUGGACGUACCUCUGGUGUACCAGUUGUCCUGCCAAGGGCAUGGCUGGGUAGCUAUGUACGGAAUGGAUAAGCGCUGAAAGCAUCUAAGCGCGAAGCCAACUUCAAGAUAAGAUUUCCCACCGCAAGGGUAAGACUCCAGAAAGACUAUCUGGUUGAUAGGUCGAAGGUGUAAGUGCAGCAAUGUAUUUAGCUUAUCGAUACUAAUAGGUCGAGGACUUGACCAA
Molecule: ribosomal RNA, 787 nt
Filed under: Clostridioides difficile
Lineage: Bacteria; Bacillati; Bacillota; Clostridia; Peptostreptococcales; Peptostreptococcaceae
Description: partial 23S ribosomal RNA
Rfam family: Bacterial large subunit ribosomal RNA
Source: RNAcentral